Molecule: long non-coding RNA, 3247 nt
Organism: Bos taurus (domestic cattle)
Lineage: Eukaryota; Metazoa; Chordata; Mammalia; Artiodactyla; Bovidae
Source: Ensembl
UGUUGGGAAGCAUAGUGGAAAAUAGACGUAAAAGGAGAAAGUCCUUGGGAAAAUGGCGAAGGGCCAGAAGUACGCGGCUUUGCACUAUGGACAGAAAGACAUCUCCUGACUUUGGUUAUGCUUGGCGCCAAGAGUUAAUAAUAAAUAGGGAUGUUACUUGUGAGAGUGGGUUGUGGGAGAAGCCCAUAAGUCAUUUAGAGCGCGCUGUCCUUGAAAUGUUUCUACUGAUUAUGUGUUAACUCUGUAUGCGCUCUGCUGGCCACAUACUUUAAGCUCUUUGUUCCUGCUUCUAUAAAAAAGCUUGACUUCAGAAAUAAACUUGUCAGUCCUUGCAAGAGACUGUCCAAGUGUCCUUCUUUCAGCUUUGUCGCUUCCAAGUCCUGGGGAGAAAAACCCCAACAAGUGGCACCCAAACAGGGACUUGAGAGAAAGGCUGAACAAAGCGACGAGCCCCUGUAGAAAGAGAUGGAGAGGAAAUCUGGGUUCCCCUUCGCCAUGUCUGCUACCGAGAAGCACCCCAAGACCAGACUCCCUCGAAAAGUGAUGAAGUUGAUGCGAAGGGUCUCAAUGACCCUGGAGGAGCCAAUGAGGAAAUGCCAUCGUCUGAAUCCUUACCUGACAUAGGCUCAAGUGAAAAAACAUGACUCAUCAGGCUGAGCAGACACUGACGAGCAAGAGGAACAUCAUAACUGCUCCUGGUUUAAUAGAUCAAGCAUUGGAGGCUUUCAUAAAUCUAAGACAAGUUUCUGGACUGAUAAGGACAUACUGCUGAAUUGGUAUAACGGGGGCUUAUCACCCCCACGACCCAGGAUUGUUGUCCCCAUUGUGGAGCCGGAGCAAUGGCACAUUUGGAAAAUUCCAGCAGCCUUAGAGCACUUCGCUAGUGUUUAUGGGACUGUGGGUGUGUUUCAUCCUUGUAAUUAUACCUUCCUAUAUAAUAGUACUGGCUAUAUUCAAUCAUGUGUUCACGUUCUUUUUUUUUUGUUUGUUUGUUUUUGUUUUUUUUGUUUUUGUUUUUUUUGUGUGUGUGUUCACAUUCUGUAUUUGUUUAUUGUAGGGCAUUUUGAUAUUGACUUAUCAGCCAAGAUUGUCAAUUGUACUGCAUGUGCAUUGUAUACCUGCCUUAAUCACACCAUUUCAUAUCACAAUGCUAGCAUUGUGCUAAACAAAGAUCUGAGUUAUGGCUUCCCAUAAACUUAAUUGAGCUUUGGACUGAUUCUAUAUUUCUUUCUGUAUUGUUGAAAACUAGGCUUAGGCGAUCUAAGCGCAUCAUUGGGUGGAUUUUUGCAGGCAUCUUAAGCCUUAUCUCCAUUGUGACUGUAGGAACUUUGUCUGGUAUGGCUUUACAUAAUUCUAUACAAAAUUAUGAUUUUAUCACUGUUUGGCACAAAGACUCUCAUGAUCUGUGGACUGGACAAGCUCAAAUAGAUCAGCAAUUACAAACACGAAUUAAUGAGUUACAAACUGUGGUUAUCUACUUAGGAGAUCAAAUGCAGCAACUGACUUUCUGAACACGUAUAUGCUGUCACUGGAAUUUUACUUCUUUUUGUCUGACUAACAUGCCCUAUAACAGCACUGAAUAUCCUUGGAAUAAGGUUAAGGCGCAUUUGCAGGAUCUCACAAGUAACUCAAGUUUAGACAUCAAUUUGCUGAAACAACAAGUUGCUAAUUUUCAAGUUAGAGUACCUAGGGAAUUGUAUAGUACUCAAUUCUAUGAUACUUUAACCAAAACCCUAUUGUCUCUAGACCCUAGAGCUUGGCUUUCAGGAAGCAUUAUUUUUAUAUAUGUAUUAAUCACCCUGCUCUUUUUGUCCUUGAUUAUGGGAUACAGAAGUCUCUACUCAAGACUCCGUGCCUCCCACAAUGGAGUCCAACUAGCUGCCGCCAUGCUUAAUUUAAAAACAAAAGGAGGACAUGUUGGGAAGCGUAGUGCAAAAUAGCCAUAAAAGGGGAAAGUCCUUGGGAAAAUGGCGAAGGGCCAGAAGUACGCAGCUUUGCACUACGGACAGAAAGACAUCUCCUGCCUUUGGUUAUGUUCGGCGCCAAGAGUUAUUAAUAAAUAGGGAUGUUACUUGUGAGAGCGGGUUGUGGGAGAAGCCCAUGAGUCAUUUACAGCGCGCUGUCCUUGAAAUGUUUCUACUGAUUAUGUGUUAACUCUGUAUGCGCCCUGCUGGCCGCAUACUUUAAGCUCUUUGUCUGCUUCUAUAAAAAAGCUUGACUGCAAGAGACUGUCCAAGUGUCCUUCUUUCAGGUUCGUCGCUUCCAAGUCCCGGGGAGAAAAACCCCAACAGUAGCCACUAGCCACUUGGGGCUAGUGGGCAUUUGAACAGUGGGUAGAUUUUAAAUUUUUAUUUAAUUAUAACUGACUUAAAUUUAAACACUCAAAUGUGGUUAAUGGCUACUGUAUUGGACAGCAGCUCUAAAUGUAUGAUUUGGAUUUAAAAAUUACAGCAUUUUAGAGAAGAAUUUUUCCACCACCAAUUUUUUACCACUGAUGUCAGGAAUGGAGUACAAAAUCAAUACAUAUUUGCAAAACUCACCAUAAUAUUGUAAAAUAGUGUGCAAGUCACUCAGUUAUGUCCAACUCUUUGAGAGCCCAUGGACUGUAGCCUGCCAGGCUCCUCUGUCCAUUGGAUUCUCCAGGCAAGCAAACUGGGGUGGGUUGGUGUGCCCUAAUUAGCCUCCAAUUAAAAUACAUUAAAAAAACCAAACUUUUGGUUAUUUCUUGUGAAAAAGUGAUACAGGUAUAGAUCAGAUAUUUAGGCAUUGAUUAGAUAUUUAUUUGUAAUGUUUACAUAGAUGACUACCUGAACAAGGUAUUACUCAAGGAUUGAUUCGAAAGAUCUGGUGCUUAUAGUCAUUCAGAAGAUAUUGUGUUAGAAAAGCAGUAAACAGGGAGUGAAAGAAUAAACCUUGAUAAAAUUCUAACUAAGGAAAAACUAUGGUAUGAAAUAUAAUUUAUGGUUAUAAGGAUGGGCUUUGAAGAGGAACAAGGGAGCCUUGGCAUGGUGACUGAUAGCUGUGUAAUACUGGCAAUUUACAUAGAAUCUGUGAGCUUCCGUCAUUUUACUAUAAAGUAGGAAUGCUUGUUAUUGUUUAGUCAUGUUUGACUCUUUGCAACCUCAUGGACUGCAACCCGCCAGGCCUCCCUGCCCGUCACCAACUCCCGGAGCUUGCUCAAACUCAUGUCCAUUGAGUCAGUGAUGCCAUCCAACCAUCUCAUCCUCUGUUGGCCCCUUCUCCCCAC